AGAUUCUUUUGGUGUUUCCAUUUUAAGAAUAAACAUGGACGCCGUGUCCAAGUUUCAAGAAAUGUGUGUCCGUGGUCCUUGAUAAUGACGUCACAGCACCGGGUUUCUUGGGAAAGAAGAGACCGAUGACUAGCUCAGUCAACGCUUCGAAGAAGUGAGUUAUCGUAACGUUUUUUCGUGCUUGGCUGACGGACUUCUUGCGGUUUGUGGACGAAUACCUGCUCUCCGAGAAGGUAGAAAAGUCUGUAACGGUUAACCAUACGUUUAGAAGAUUGUGGAUUGAAGGCUGAGCUUCGGUAAAUGGUGGUGACUCGACCGGCUUCUGCGCUGGCGAAGUUGCAUUACGGCUUUCGUGAAGUCUCAACAUAAGGAAAUUACAUAACGAGAAAAGGAAGUGAAAAUUCAUUAGCCAGCUUUACCUUCUCAAGCUACACACUGACAUGGUUUGGUUUAAUGAACCCCAGAUUUUUGUUUCCUUUACAGGAUGGUGACGGGAGUUCUUUAAGAGAGUGUGAUGUGGUGUUUGUGAAUCUUGUUCGUUGCUUUGGCCCCUCAAUAGCUUUUAAAUAAGAUAUGGUGGCUUACUAUAACUUAAAAAAAA
Macrobrachium nipponense is the source of this 601-nucleotide long non-coding RNA. RefSeq lists it as uncharacterized. Lineage: Eukaryota; Metazoa; Arthropoda; Malacostraca; Decapoda; Palaemonidae. The transcript is spliced from 4 exons. The record is from RefSeq and is a predicted model, not a curated record.